UGUCUCAAUGCAGCACACAGUGCAAACACAAGGCCCAGUUGCUGCUGCUAUUAACAGUAUUGUAUUAUGAUUAUAGUUUUUCCCUAUUUAUCUUUGAUGCCAGAGUGCUUACACUCUGCACCUCUUGGGCCAUAUGGCCUUGUCAUUGUCUUGUAUCUUGCAUCAAUUACUUUUGCAUAUAAAGCUUUUUUCUCUAACACAAUUGCAAUUUGUUUAAAGACUGACUCCCCCUCAGCAGCAAAAAAAUAAGUUCCCAGGAAGUGCUCAGUGAUAUGUGCCUUGCUUCUUUCUAGAUGUUUACCAACAACUGAGCUCUAAUCACAUCUGACUGGCCCAAGGCUAACAAGGAAACUGUUUGACUUUCCAGGCAUCAGUGACCUUCAAUGACAGGCUCUAACCUCCAUUUAGGAAGAGUGAAAGCAGUGGCACCCAGCCCACAGGACUCUGUAUUCAGAGAUGAUGAUGAAGACCUGUAGGCUUCUGGUCUCUGGGUAGAGCCUCCCCUUUCCUUCAUGUGGAAGCCUGAUGCCUCCUUCACUCGGCCCGUUUUCCAAAUCUGUAGGGCACCCUCCUUCCUUCCCAUAGACCUGCUAGGUUCCCAUCUCAUCUCCUACCUGGUCUCUUUGUUUCUCCUCAGAUUAUUUAGGGCAAGAAACAUUCCCUCCCUCAAAAUGGCUCAGAUACUCAAGAAUUUGUUGGAAGUUAAUCGGGGGGUUUUGUAAGAGCUCUCCUCUAAAAAUGUUAAACAGUAAACACAUGGGAGUGACAAGUGAUUAGAUGUGACCUUUGAGACCAGAAUGAUGAAGCAACCAUGAGAAGACAAUGAUGAUGUAAUCAAUAGCUAAUACUUAUUGAAUGCUAUUGAGAGGCCAGG
This 874-nucleotide long non-coding RNA is filed under the name Homo sapiens (human). RNAcentral's name for it is "HSALNT0258700". The record is from RNAcentral. Lineage: Eukaryota; Metazoa; Chordata; Mammalia; Primates; Hominidae.